UGGACUCCACGGACGUCGCCGGUGACAC
This 28-nucleotide small RNA is filed under the name Bombyx mori (domestic silkworm). RNAcentral's name for it is "ovarian small RNA-34580". The record is from RNAcentral. Lineage: Eukaryota; Metazoa; Arthropoda; Insecta; Lepidoptera; Bombycidae.